GUCAGUAUGUCCGAGUGGUUAAGGAGAUAGACUUGAAAUCUAUUGGGCUAUGCCCGCAUAGGCACAAAUCCUGUUGCUGACG
This 82-nucleotide transfer RNA is filed under the name Smittium mucronatum. It matches the Rfam family "tRNA". From Rfam's summary of the family: Transfer RNA (tRNA) molecules are approximately 80 nucleotides in length. Their secondary structure includes four short double-helical elements and three loops (D, anti-codon, and T loops). Lineage: Eukaryota; Fungi; Kickxellomycota; Harpellomycetes; Harpellales; Legeriomycetaceae. The record is from Rfam by way of RNAcentral.